Molecule: RNA transcript, 3073 nt
Organism: Mya arenaria
Lineage: Eukaryota; Metazoa; Mollusca; Bivalvia; Myida; Myidae
Gene name: multiple epidermal growth factor-like domains protein 10
Exons: 4
Source: RefSeq, a predicted model, not a curated record
AUUUUGUAGUUUUUACUUCCUGUUUUGGAGUUAAAUAAUUUGACAGUCGGUUAUGAAGUGAUUUUUUAGGAUUUUGACUCUUUGCAUCAAAACAACUUUUUGAGGUAUCUCCGGGACAGAAUGAUGUUUUGGAUAUUUUGUUUGCUCUGCUUUGCUCGAUCAUGUAUAGGAGUCUUUAUAGACGGGGUGGACUGCAGUCUGAACUGUGUGUGCUGUAAGGGGGGAGUGGAUGAAUGUGGGUUUAAGUCAGGAUUAGGAAUCAAUAUUUGUUUAAAUGGCUGUGUUGAUGGACUAUAUGGCUACAAAUGUAAUAAUCCCUGUCCCGGUAACUGUUCGUCGUGUGAACCAAGCGAUGGUAGACCAUGUUACAGCUGCAAGGCUACAUUUUAUGAUAGAAACAGUGAGUGUAGCAAGAGCUGUUCAGUCGGGUGUGAUGGAGGAGUCUGCAAUAAUGAUGGAGCAUGUAGUCCAUGUAGAGACAACUUCGAAGGAACAAAAUGCGAAACGUGCAUACAAGGAAAAUUUGGUUCAAGUUGUUCACAAUAUUGCAUUUAUCAGAACUGCCGAUGUUCGACUGGAACUGAUUGUACUUCUUGUAAAAUGGGGUUCUACGACAGAAAUACCUUCUGUCAAACAGCUUGUUCCCCGGGAUGUCAGAAUGCCGUUUGUAAUGAUAACGGAAGUUGCAAUUGUCGAGCUGAGUUUAUGGGAAAUAAAUGCAGUGAAUGUCAGUCAGGAUAUUAUGGGGCAUACUGCAACGUGUCCUGUUCCACAGGAUGUGUGAAUGGACUGUGCUUAAAAGAUGGUACUUGCUUAUGUCAUCCGAACUUCGUUACAGAGAAAUGUGAUACGUGUGCUGAUGGAAGAUACGGUGUUAACUGUGACGAGAUUUGCAGCGUGGGAUGUACCAAAAGGUCCUGUGACAGAAGCAAUGGCUUUUGUGAAUGUCGUCCUAACUUUUCUGGCGAUAAAUGCGACCAAUGUAUAUCAGGCUUUUACGAACAAUUAUGUAACUUACCUUGCUCGGAUAAUUGCAACGAACGCACAUGCUCACGAUACCAGGGGAACUGCACACAUGGUUGUGUUGAUGGCUAUUCGGGCCAACAUUGCACAACCCCUUGUAAUAAAACAUGCGUAACAUGUCUACAACAUGAUAAUUCACACUGCGUGUCAUGCUAUAAUGGAUUCAGUGGAUCAACCUGUCGAUGCCCAUCCAAUUGCAAUUGUGACUCUGCCUCUGAUGUAUGUACUACAAGUGCAGAUGGGUAUGCCAAUCCUAAAAAGCAAUGCAAGUGUCAGACUCAAUAUUGUACCGAAACCGUGUGCGAUAAAUGUAUUAACCAAACAUUUUAUGUUGAUAACAAUGCGUGCUGUGAAUGUCCGAAGAAUUGUAAAGAUGUUACGUGCAUAGAUGGACCUGAAUGUAUUUCUGGUUGCAUUGACGGCUUUACGGUUUGGAUUGUUCUCAACGAUGUUUGUCACUGAGUGGGGAUUGUUUAAGAUGUUAUCAGACUGAUGGAAAGUGUCUGGAAUGUAACGACGGUGUAUAUCCCCAUGGGAACGGAAUCUGCAUAAGUUGCAGUAGGAGUUGUAUGAAUGAGCAGUGCGAUCCUAAGACCGGCACAUGUAUAAAUGGUUGCACAGAAAGAUUUUGGGGGGACAAGUGUGAUAUUCAGUGUGGUGCAAACUGUGAAACUUGUCAGCGAGAUUCGGGAGUCUGCUUGUCUUGUACAGACACGACUUACCAUGGUCUUUCUUGCAACGAAUCAUGUAGCACCUCGUGUUUUGAAAGCAAAUGCGAAAAAGAGACUGGUUAUUGUUCCAAUGGGUGCUCCAGAGAUUCUUUUGGAAAUAUGUGUGAUAUCAAUUGCCCUAAAAAUUGUCAGCAAGGAGACACAGAAACGAGUUGUAGUAUCGAUGGCGAUUGUUUGUAUGGCUGCAUCAAUGACCUUGAAGGCAAAGAUUGUUCAGAAAGACGAAUUUACAUUUUUUCUCCAACAAAUGUUGCAACCGCAGCUUUUGGCCAUCAUUUUUUUAUUAUCUGAUUUACAAGAUUUUUUUCAAAAAUGUUGAGUCGAGGGGGCGAAAUAAAAAUAAAAAUAAAAGCUGAAAAAGUGAGCAGUCGUACAAAAAAAUAAAAAUAAAAGUACCGAGAGGGAGCAUAAAUUUUAUUUUCAUUUAUAUCAUUUUAAGCCCAAAAUGCCUGUUUAUAGAGCUAUAUAUCAUGUAUUAUGCAUGUUUUGUGUCCAUAAUAACCACAGAAAUGUAUAAUAAAACACUAUUUUACUUCACAACACAAAUUUGCUCAAUAUAUGCUUUAUUUUCAAGUCUUAUAGAUUGAAUCCAGAUUAAGAUUUGGAAUGGAUUAACAAUUGAAUUGUACAAAAUAAAUUGAAUAAAGAAACAUGUUUAGGCUUAUUGUAACAUGAACUUGUAAAACAAGAAUGAAAUUUCAGAGGAACAACUCGCUAACAUCAAGUUAAACAGCAGUCAAACAAAUAUUGCAAACUAUUUGAUUUUACGUAGGUUGUAAUGCACUUUUACCAAUGGUGAAUGGUAAACUUUCUCUUAUUCAAAACAACUCAAAAUUAAUGUUCUAUGUAGCAGUUCAAGGUGACAUCAAACAUCAGCUAUUUCAGACAAAGUAAAACCUCCCUUAAAGACCACUUCAAUAAUAAGACCACCUCAAAGUUAAGAACACAAUGUUCAAGUCCAUUUUCCAAAUUUUGCUCUUUCAUUUAAGGUCGUUAUUUAGGCCACCUCAAUAAUAAGACCAGUUGUAAAGGGUUCCCAGGGUGGUCGCAAAGUGAGGUUAUACUGUAUAUUGUAAGUAUUGUAACAGUAUAUCUUCAGACUUUGUGAAAUAACUGAACAUAAUGACAUCAAGUUCUCACAAAGUGGUCUACAAUAUCAACCAACAGAUUGGUCAUAAAUGUUGACCACACAUUCAAUACAUACACAGUAAAGUAUUUUACUUCACUUCAGAUAUGUUAGUGUACAAAGAAUGAAACAGAAAACUGUACACUGAGAAAGUUUGACAGCAUUUAGAUAAAAAGCUGCUGAAUAAUAGACA